AAGAAAAUAAUGGAUGUGCUGGCUUCAUUGCAUGUGCACUCCUAACCUAAUAUCCAUCCACCUGUGCACCCACUGUAGGCAAGAAAGCAAAGUGGUUUGCUAUUCCUCUUGCUUGUUGCCUAUGAUUUUAACAUACCCCAAAGUAAAGUUGAAGAAUGUGAUAAAGAAAUAAAUAAAA
RNAcentral lists this unclassified non-coding RNA (178 nucleotides) under uncultured Basidiomycota. RNAcentral describes it as "sequence contains ITS1". Lineage: Eukaryota; Fungi; Basidiomycota. The record is from RNAcentral.